Molecule: ribosomal RNA, 832 nt
Filed under: Eukaryota sp.
Lineage: Eukaryota
Description: SSU rRNA
Rfam family: Eukaryotic small subunit ribosomal RNA
Source: RNAcentral
UCGGUAAUUCCAGCUCCAAUAGCAUAUAUUAAAGUUGUUGCAGUUAAAACGCUCGUAGUCGAGUACGGCUCUGUCGGUUGAUCGUGCAGCUUGCUGUUAUUGAUGCUGACUGAGCUUUGCGUCGCACCAGCGUCUUUUGAUGUUGGUGCAAUGCCACUUUGAAUAUAUCAAAGUGUUCAAGGCAAUUUGUUUGAUUGCUCAAGCAUGGAAUACAGAAUUGGCGUUUGCUGGUUCUAUGGUUCUACAAGCAUGUGCAAUGAUUGAGAUGAACGGUUGGGGGGAUACGCAUUUGGCUGUUAGAGGUGAAAUUCUUGGAUCAGUCAAAGGCGAACUGAUGCGAAAGCGUUUCUCAAGAACGUUUUUAUUGAUCAAGAACGAAGGUUAAGGGAUCGAAGACGAUCAGAUACCGUCGUAGUCUUAACGGUAAACUAUGCCGUCCAAAGACCGGGUCUUCGCGUAGAGAUUACUCGGGAUUUCGAGAGAAAUCAGAGAUUUUGGGUUCUGGGGGAAGUAUGUGCGCAAGCCGGAAACUUAAAGGAAUUGACGGAAGGGCACCACAAGGAGUGGAACAUGCGGCUUAAUUUGACUCAACACGGGGAACCUUACCAGGGCAAGACAUAGGAAGGAUUGACAGGAUGAUAGUUCUUUCUUGAUUCUAUGGGUGGUGGUGCAUGGCCGAUUCUAGUUGGUGGAGUGAUUUGUCUGGUUGAUUCCGUUAACGAACGAGACCUUCUCUCCCAAAUUGCUAUGGCCUAUGUUCAUAGGUCUUAGUAACUUGGAGUACAACAUGCAGAAAGCAUGGGGAAGAUGAAAGGCGAAAUCAGGUCUGUGA